Molecule: long non-coding RNA, 818 nt
Organism: Cyprinus carpio (common carp)
Lineage: Eukaryota; Metazoa; Chordata; Actinopteri; Cypriniformes; Cyprinidae
Exons: 2
Source: RefSeq, a predicted model, not a curated record
UAUUAUUUUCAUAUAGUAAAAACUAUUAUUAUACUUUUUUAUUCAGAACACAACUAUAACUUUGACCUCGCAAAAAGUAGUCACUACAAUGGUACAGCAAUGGCAGCAUAUGUUAAUACCGUGGUACCGAUUAAUUAUCAUGUGGUAUUUACAAGGUACUCUCAGGAAUAGCAUGGCUUUACCAUGUUUUUAUUCAGUUUGACCAUUGUAAAACACUACAUUCUAUUAUUACUAUUAUUACUCACUAUUAUUACUCACAUUUCACUGCUGGUUAUAUAUGCUCUAUAUAAUUGUGUAUGUGACAAAUAAAAAAUCUUGAAUCUUGAAAAGACUUCUAAUAUAUUCUCUCACACAUUACAAUUGGCAUUCUAGGAAAUUUAAGUUGCAGUACCAAUGGAACUGCUAUAAAGCUUUUAUAAAAUAUUAAAAUAACACAUAAAUAUAUUCUUACCAUUUAUAACCAUUUGUAGGUGUGCAGCACUACCAUCCAGUGGUUAACACUGCGAAUAUAGUUUUAAAAAUAUGUAAGAACAGUGCUGGGCAUUUAUUAAUUUGAAAACCUAAGACAAAAGUGGAAGCUCAUUCCAUUUCAAGUUUUACUUCAGACCCAAUAUAAAAUACAAACAGCAUAAACAUUUCUUGUCAAAUAUGUAAUCUGGGAUUCAAGGAUCAUCUGUUGUGUCCCAGCUCUUCUGUAUUUUGUCAAUGUAACAGUGAGGAAAAAUUAAGAAAAGCCCGUCACUGAGAGCAAAUAAAUGAUCAUUAUUACACCAAACUGUUUUUAAAAAUGCAUGAAGAAAAACUACCAGUAACUGCUU